Rhopalosiphum padi (bird cherry-oat aphid) is the source of this 472-nucleotide long non-coding RNA. RefSeq lists it as uncharacterized. The transcript has 4 exons. Lineage: Eukaryota; Metazoa; Arthropoda; Insecta; Hemiptera; Aphididae. The record is from RefSeq and is a predicted model, not a curated record.
AUAAACAAUUGCGGUUAUGUUCAAUUUUUACGUAAAUAAUAAUUAUACGUUAAUUUGAUAAUUUGUAUUUUUUUAAUUUUACUUUUUAGUAUUUACGUUCUAAGUAGUUAGUUUUUGUAUAAUUAAAUAAUAUGUUCUUUACCCUGUACAGUAUACAAAUUACAGAUUUAAACAGUUCUCUUUAGAUGUGGUCUUCAUCAGUCAUUCUUAUAGUCAUUGGAAACAACCGGUACAAUGUAUCGAUAAAUAAUUGAAACCAUUGCAAAAAAAAAGUUAAAUUCAUGCUAUCUACAACAUUCAUAUUCAAAUCUUCAUAACUUAAAUCAUUUAGCAAGAUACAGUAACUGAAGUAUACAUGUAUCCAGGCCAAUAAGGAGAUUAUUCUGUUUGGAAAAACAUCUGAAAAAACUGUUCCUACUAACAUAAUUGUUUAUCCGUCUGCAAAGAAGAGAUUCCAGAUAAAUUAGUAUAA